This 253-nucleotide ribosomal RNA is filed under the name uncultured bacterium. RNAcentral describes it as "partial 16S ribosomal RNA". It matches the Rfam family "Bacterial small subunit ribosomal RNA", at positions 524 to 776 of the family's 1533-position model. The record is from RNAcentral.
UACGUAGGGGGCGAGCGUUUUCCGGAUUUAUUGGGCGUAAAGGGCGCGUAGGCGGCUCGGCACGUCCGUUGUGAAAUCGCCCGGCUCAACUGGGCGGGGUCGGCGGAUACGGCCGAGCUGGAGCAAGCUAGGGGGUAAUGGAAUUCCCGGUGUAGUGGUGGAAUGCGUAGAUAUCGGGAGGAACACCAGUGGCGAAGGCGGUUACCUGGAGCUUUGCUGACGCUGAUGCGCGAAAGCGUGGGGAGCGAUCCGG